GUCGAGCGGUAAGGCCUUUCGGGGUACACGAGCGGCGAACGGGUGAGUAACACGUGGGUGAUCUGCCCUGCACUUCGGGAUAAGCCUGGGAAACUGGGUCUAAUACCGGAUAUGACCUCCUAUCGCAUGGUGGGUGGUGGAAAGAUUUAUCGGUGCAGGAUGGGCCCGCGGCCUAUCAGCUUGUUGGUGGGGUAAUGGCCUACCAAGGCGACGACGGGUAGCCGACCUGAGAGGGUGACCGGCCACACUGGGACUGAGACACGGCCCAGACUCCUACGGGAGGCAGCAGUGGGGAAUAUUGCACAAUGGGCGAAAGCCUGAUGCAGCGACGCCGCGUGAGGGAUGACGGCCUUCGGGUUGUAAACCUCUUUCAGCAGGGACGAAGCGCAAGUGACGGUACCUGCAGAAGAAGCACCGGCUAACUACGUGCCAGCAGCCGCGGUAAUACGUAGGGUGCAAGCGUUGUCCGGAAUUACUGGGCGUAAAGAGUUCGUAGGCGGUUUGUCGCGUCGUUUGUGAAAACCAGCAGCUCAACUGCUGGCUUGCAGGCGAUACGGGCAGACUUGAGUACUGCAGGGGAGACUGGAAUUCCUGGUGUAGCGGUGAAAUGCGCAGAUAUCAGGAGGAACACCGGUGGCGAAGGCGGGUCUCUGGGCAGUAACUGACGCUGAGGAACGAAAGCGUGGGUAGCGAACAGGAUUAGAUACCCUGGUAGUCCACGCCGUAAACGGUGGGCGCUAGGUGUGGGUUCCUUCCACGGAAUCCGUGCCGUAGCUAACGCAUUAAGCGCCCCGCCUGGGGAGUACGGCCGCAAGGCUA
Molecule: ribosomal RNA, 819 nt
Filed under: Rhodococcus erythropolis
Lineage: Bacteria; Bacillati; Actinomycetota; Actinomycetes; Mycobacteriales; Nocardiaceae
Description: bacterial SSU rRNA
Rfam family: Bacterial small subunit ribosomal RNA
Source: RNAcentral